Long non-coding RNA from Myripristis murdjan (pinecone soldierfish), 241 nucleotides. RefSeq lists it as uncharacterized. The transcript has 3 exons. The record is from RefSeq and is a predicted model, not a curated record. NCBI's taxonomy places the organism in Eukaryota, Metazoa, Chordata, Actinopteri, Holocentriformes, Holocentridae.
CCAGCUGUGUGUCCAUGAAGAGUGACCAGUCUAUGAAAGAACCUAUUCACUUCAAAGAUGGACGCCACUCUGCUGAUAAAAGGAUCCAGCAGGAGAGACCAGACUCCCCUGGACCUGGACCUGAGCCCAGCUGUGUGUCCAUGAAGAGUGACUGCUCUAUGGGUCUUCCUAUUGAGUUCAAAGACAGCCGCCUCUUUGAGGAUGAUGGAGUCCAGCAGCAGAGCUCAGAGGUUCCCAGUGC